AGGACGAACGCUGGCGGCGUGCUUAACACAUGCAAGUCGAGCGGAAAGGCCCUUCGGGGUACUCGAGCGGCGAACGGGUGAGUAACACGUGGGCAACCUGCCCCGAGCUCUGGGAUAACUCCGGGAAACCGGGGCUAAUACCGGAUACGACCCGAGAAGACAUCUUCUCGGGUGGAAAGUUUUUCGGCUCGGGAUGGGCCCGCGGCCUAUCAGCUUGUUGGUGGGGUAACGGCCUACCAAGGCGACGACGGGUAGCCGGCCUGAGAGGGCGACCGGCCACACUGGGACUGAGACACGGCCCAGACUCCUACGGGAGGCAGCAGUGGGGAAUAUUGCGCAAUGGGCGAAAGCCUGACGCAGCGACGCCGCGUGAGGGAUGAAGGCCUUCGGGUUGUAAACCUCUUUCAGCAGGGACGAAGCGAAAGUGACGGUACCUGCAGAAGAAGCACCGGCCAACUACGCGCCAGCAGCCGC
This 474-nucleotide ribosomal RNA is filed under the name uncultured bacterium. RNAcentral describes it as "SSU rRNA". It matches the Rfam family "Bacterial small subunit ribosomal RNA", at positions 26 to 518 of the family's 1533-position model. The record is from RNAcentral.